Molecule: ribosomal RNA, 253 nt
Filed under: uncultured bacterium
Lineage: Bacteria
Description: partial 16S ribosomal RNA
Rfam family: Bacterial small subunit ribosomal RNA
Source: RNAcentral
AACGUAGGAGGCGAGCGUUAUCCGGAAUCACUGGGCGUAAAGGGCGUCUAGGCGGGUUGGUAAGCGAGGUGUGAAAGCUCCCGGCUCAACUGGGAGAGUGCGCUUCGAACUGCCAGCCUUGAGGUGAGCAGAAGGGGGUGGAAUUCCCGGUGGAGUGGUGAAAUGCGUAGAGAUCGGGAGGAACACCAGUGGCGAAAGCGGCCCCCUAGGCUUAUCCUGACGCUGAAGCGCGAAAGCGUGGGGAGCAAACGGG